AAGUCGUAACAAGGUUUCCGUAGGUGAACCUGCGGAAGGAUCAUUACUGAGAUAGGGUUCUUUUUGAGCCCGACCUCCAACCCUUUGUUUAAACUACUUUGUUGCUUUGGCAGGCCGCGAGCUCUCGGGCGAGCGCUGGCUUCGGCUAGAGAGUGCCUGCCAGAGGACCCAACUCUGUAAUUUCAGCGAUGUCUGAGUACUAUUAAGUAGUUAAAA
RNAcentral lists this unclassified non-coding RNA (216 nucleotides) under plant metagenome. Its description in RNAcentral is "partial contains small subunit ribosomal RNA and internal transcribed spacer 1". The stretch from base 1 to 46 matches the Rfam family "Eukaryotic small subunit ribosomal RNA", at positions 1786 to 1831 of the family's 1831-position model. The record is from RNAcentral.